CCUACGGGUGGCAGCAGUGGGGAAUAUUGCACAAUGGGGGAAACCCUGAUGCAGCGACGCCGCGUGAGUGAAGAAGUAUCUCGGUACGUAAAGCUCUAUCAGCAGGGAAGCAAAUGACGGUACCUGACUAACAACCCCCGGCUAACUACGUGCCAGCAGCCGCGGUAAUACGGAGGGGGCAAGCGUGAUCCGGAGUUACUGGGUGUAAAGGGAGCGUAGACGGCAGCGCAAGUCUGGAGUGAAAUGCCGGGGCCCAACCCCGGAACUGCUUUUGAAACUGUGCAGCUCGAGUGCAGGAGAGGUAAGCGGAAUGCGUAGUGUAGCGGUGAAAUGCGCAGAUAUUAGGAGGAACACCAGUGGCGAAGGCGACUUACUGGACUGUAACUGACGUUGAGGCUCGAAAGCGUGGGGAGCAAACAGGAUUAGAUACCCCAGUAGUC
This 440-nucleotide ribosomal RNA is filed under the name uncultured bacterium. RNAcentral describes it as "partial 16S ribosomal RNA". It matches the Rfam family "Bacterial small subunit ribosomal RNA", at positions 338 to 795 of the family's 1533-position model. The record is from RNAcentral.